Molecule: ribosomal RNA, 612 nt
Filed under: uncultured bacterium
Lineage: Bacteria
Description: bacterial SSU rRNA
Rfam family: Bacterial small subunit ribosomal RNA
Source: RNAcentral
CCUACGGGAGGCAGCAGUAAGGAAUAUUGGUCAAUGGGCGCAAGCCUGAACCAGCCAUGCCGCGUGCAGGAAGACGGCCCUAUGGGUUGUAAACUGCUUUUGAACAAGAGAAAACCUCGGUACGUGUACCGAGCUGAUAGUAUUGUUAGAAUAAGCAUCGGCUAACUUCGUGCCAGCAGCCGCGGUAAGACGAAGGAUGCAAGCGUUAUCCGGAUUCAUUGGGUUUAAAGGGUGCGUAGGCGGCCUGAUAAGUCAGUGGUGAAAUCUCUCAGCUUAACUGAGAAACUGCCAUUGAUACUGUCGGGCUUGAGUACAGAUGAUGUGGGCGGAAUAUGACAUGUAGUGGUGAAAUACUUAGAUAUGUCAUAGAACACCGAUUGCGAAGGCAGCUCACAAAACUGUAACUGACGCUGAGGCACGAAAGUGCGGGGAUCAAACAGGAUUAGAUACCCUGGUAGUCCGCACCGUAAACGAUGAUUACUCGUUGUUGGCAAUAUGACCGUCAGCGACCAAGCGAAAGCGANAAGUAAUCCACCUGGGAGUACGCCGGCAACGGUGAAACGUCAAANAGAGUUAGAGNGNGAGAGNGCGAGACGACGACGAGGGAGGAGG